This 500-nucleotide ribosomal RNA is filed under the name uncultured bacterium. RNAcentral describes it as "partial 16S ribosomal RNA". It matches the Rfam family "Bacterial small subunit ribosomal RNA", at positions 30 to 523 of the family's 1533-position model. The record is from RNAcentral.
AUUGAACGCUGGCGGCAUGCCUUACGCAUGCAAGUCGAACGGCAGCACGGGAGCAAUCCUGGUGGCGAGUGGCGAACGGGUGAGUAAUAUAUCGGAACGUGCCCAGUCGUGGGGGAUAACGUAGCGAAAGCUACGCUAAUACCGCAUACGAUCUAUGGAUGAAAGCGGGGGAUCGCAAGACCUCGCGCGAUUGGAGCGGCCGAUAUCAGAUUAGGUAGUUGGUGAGGUAAAGGCUCACCAAGCCGACGAUCUGUAGCUGGUCUGAGAGGACGACCAGCCACACUGGAACUGAGACACGGUCCAGACUCCUACGGGAGGCAGCAGUGGGGAAUUUUGGACAAUGGGCGCAAGCCUGAUCCAGCAAUGCCGCGUGCAGGAUGAAGGCCUUCGGGUUGUAAACUGCUUUUGUACGGAACGAAACGGUGAGCUCUAAUACAGUUUGCUAAUGACGGUACCGUAAGAAUAAGCACCGGCUAACUACGUGCCAGCCGCCGCGGUAA